RNAcentral lists this non-coding RNA (213 nucleotides) under Heyndrickxia sporothermodurans. RNAcentral describes it as "Bacillus sporothermodurans T-box sequence". It matches the Rfam family "T-box leader". Rfam says of the family: Uncharged tRNA acts as the effector for transcription antitermination of genes in the T-box leader family. Lineage: Bacteria; Bacillati; Bacillota; Bacilli; Caryophanales; Bacillaceae. The record is from RNAcentral.
AAAAAAACGUUGAAAAGGACUAGUAGAGUGUGUCCGUCUUUUCUAGAGAGGAAACAACUGGUGAAAAGUUUCUAAAGACAGCAUUUGAACCUGCCUUGGAGUUCUGUAUCGAUCUUACUUAAGAUACAAGCGGUUUGCACGAACCGUUAUCAAUAAUGAAGUGUACAGCAAUGCUGUAAAUAAGGGUGGUACCACCAGACCUCGGUCCCUUUU